UCAAAUGAACUAAGGCGUACGGCGGAGACCUAGGCACUCAGAGACGAUGAAGGGCGCAGAUACCGGCGAAACGCUUCGGGGAGCUGGCAACAAGCUUUGAUCCGAAGAUCCCCGAAUAGGGCAACCUCUAUAGAACUUCCUAUACAAUUCAUAGUUAGGGAAGAGGCAACCCAGUGAACUGAAACAUCUAAGUAGCUGGAGGAAAAGAAAGCAAACGCGAUUCCCGUAGUAGCGGCGAGCGAACCGGGAUCAGCCUAAACCAGUUUUAAAAACUGGUGUAGUGGGAGG
This 288-nucleotide ribosomal RNA is filed under the name Chlamydomonas frankii. Its description in RNAcentral is "large subunit rRNA alpha". It matches the Rfam family "Bacterial large subunit ribosomal RNA", at positions 1 to 307 of the family's 2925-position model. Lineage: Eukaryota; Viridiplantae; Chlorophyta; Chlorophyceae; Chlamydomonadales; Chlamydomonadaceae. The record is from RNAcentral.